This is a non-coding RNA of Gymnothorax javanicus (giant moray), 73 nucleotides long. Lineage: Eukaryota; Metazoa; Chordata; Actinopteri; Anguilliformes; Muraenidae. The record is from the annotation of a GenBank genome assembly.
GGCUCUGUGGUGCAAUGGAUAAUGCAUUAGAUUUACAAUUCAAAGGUUGUGGGUUGGACUCCCACCAGAAUUG